Molecule: ribosomal RNA, 1843 nt
Filed under: 'Brassica rapa' phyllody phytoplasma
Lineage: Bacteria; Bacillati; Mycoplasmatota; Mollicutes; Acholeplasmatales; Acholeplasmataceae
Description: bacterial SSU rRNA
Rfam family: Bacterial small subunit ribosomal RNA (bases 1-1523)
Source: RNAcentral
AAGAGUUUGAUCCUGGCUCAGGAUUAACGCUGGCGGCGCGCCUAAUACAUGCAAGUCGAACGGAAACCUUCGGGUUUUAGUGGCGAACGGGUGAGUAACACGUAAGCAACCUGCCUUUAAGACGUGGAUAACAAUUGGAAACAGUUGCUAAGACAGGAUAGGAAAUUAAGAGGCAUCUUUUAAUUUUUAAAAGACCUUUUUCGAAAGGUAUACUUAAAGAGGGGCUUGCGCCACAUUAGUUAGUUGGUAAGGUAAAGGCUUACCAAGACGAUGAUGUGUAGCUGGACUGAGAGGUCGAACAGCCACAUUGGGACUGAGACACGGCCCAAACUCCUACGGGAGGCAGCAGUAAGGAAUUUUUGGCAAUGGAGGAAACUCUGACCGAGCGACGUCGCGUGAACAAUGAAGUACUUCGGUAUGUAAAGUUCUUUUAUUGAAAAAGAAAAAAUAGUGGAAAAACUAUCUUGACAUUAUUCAAUGAAUAAGCCCCGGCUAAUUAUGUGCCAGCAGCCGCGGUAAUACAUAAGGGGCGAGCGUUAUCCGGAAUUAUUGGGCGUAAAGGGUGCGUAGGCGGUUUGAUAAGUCUAUAGUUUAAAUGCAGUGCUUAACGCUAUAGCGCUAUAGAAACUGUCUGACUAGAGUUAGAUAGAGGCAAGCGGAAUUCCAUGUGUAGCGGUAAAAUGCGUAAAUAUAUGGAGGAACACCAGAGGCGUAGGCGGCUUGCUGGGUCUUAACUGACGCUGAGGCACGAAAGCGUGGGGAGCAAACAGGAUUAGAUACCCUGGUAGUCCACGCCGUAAACGAUGAGUACUAAGUGUCGGGUCGGCUCGGUACUGAAGUUAACACAUUAAGUACUCCGCCUGAGUAGUACGUACGCAAGUAUGAAACUUAAAGGAAUUGACGGGACCCCGCACAAGCGGUGGAUCAUGUUGUUUAAUUCGAAGAUACACGAAAAACCUUACCAGGUCUUGACAUAAUUUUGCGACAUUAUAGAAAUAUAAUGAAGGUUAUCAGAAUUACAGGUGGUGCAUGGUUGUCGUCAGCUCGUGUCGUGAGAUGUUAGGUUAAGUCCUAAAACGAGCGCAACCCUUGUCGUUAGUUGCGACCACGUAAUGGUGAGCACUUUAGCGAGACUGCCAAUGAAAAAUUGGAGGAAGGUGAGGAUUACGUCAAAUCAUCAUGCCCCUUAUGAUCUGGGCUACAAACGUGAUACAAUGGCUGUUACAAAGAGUAGCUACAACGUGAGUUUUUAGCCAAUCUCAAAAAAACAGUCUCAGUUCGGAUUGAAGUCUGCAACUCGACUUCAUGAAGUUGGAAUCGCUAGUAAUCGCGAAUCAGCAUGUCGCGGUGAAUACGUUCUCGGGGUUUGUACACACCGCCCGUCAAACCACGAAAGUUGAUAAUACCCGAAAGCGGUCGCCUAACUUCGUCAGAAGAGGGAGCCGUCUAAGGUAGGAUCGAUGAUUGGGGUUAAGUCGUAACAAGGUAUCCCUACCGGAAGGUGGGGAUGGAUCACCUCCUUUCUAAGGAAACAUAGAAUCAUCAUCUUCAGUUUUGAAAGACUUAGUUAGGUUUUUCUAAUUUGAAAAACUUAGUUAAGUUUUUCUCAUUUCUUUUAUUUUUUGGUAUCCUGGGCCUAUAGCUCAGUUGGUUAGAGCACACGCCUGAUAAGCGUGAGGUCGGUGGUUCAAGUCCAUUUAGGCCCACCAAACGUUUUGCUAAAAAAAACGUGUUAUCAAAAAAAAGUUCUUUGAAAAGUAGAUAAACAAGAAAACAAUAGCCAUUUUUAAAGGAAGUAGGGGCGUACAGUGGAUGCCUUGGCACUAAGAGCCGAUGAAGGACG